CAAUUUUAAGAUAUUUCUGUUUAUGUUUUAUAUGCAAAAAAAAUGUUUUUAGAAGUAUGAAAUAUUGCACUAAAAUGUUACUGCAGUUUUCUCCAAUUUUCUGAGACACUAUGUAGAAUAACUCUUUUUAAGUGAGUACCUAAAAAUAUUCAUGAACGCGAAAAAAUCUUUUCAUCUGUUGUGAGUUGAUCAAGAUUGUGGCAAAUUUCCCCCUGAAAGAAAAAGAAGGGGAAAGAAAUAUUGUGGCAAGCACCUCAGAAUAAGUACUAUCUCAAAGCUAGCCACUAGGAGAAAAUCUAAGGCUUUAUCCAUCUACACCAAUCUCAUACAAGUGCAGGACAUUCAGCCCACAAUUUUCCACUAUGCUUCUGUAGCCGACAUUCACAUAUGCUUUUUCUUUAUCAGCUCUAGCUUAAAAUAUGCUUCUUUCAUGAACUCAUUAGUAACUUUGGUCUAGCAUAUGGCCUGACAACAUGUUCUCCAGCCCUUCUACGAGCCUACUAAGUACUUAAUAAGGCCUAUAAAUAGCCCUUUCUAAGUGUCAAGCUGCAGGCUUGGAGUUGGAACUUAAUAAGUGCCUUGCAAGAAUUCGCCCAUAAAAGUUCGCUGUCAGAGGAAGAAAGUCCAAAACUUUAUUUGUUUUCAAAUGACCAAUUCAAGACAUUGGAGCCACAAAUUGAAACAUCAGUGUUAACUUACUAGGGUGCAGUUGUCAACACACAGUAGCAAUUUGUGAUGCAAUGUUUAGGAAAUUGUUGAGAAAAGUGUUCCAUGUACAAAUCUCCAAAUGUGUUUCAAAACUUGAAAUAUUACUUUUACAUGAUGUGAAUUGAGUUCUCUAACAUUAAUGUAUUUUUCCAUUAUGACUCAAAAUGUUCUGUUAAAUUUCAAGUAUUGCUAGUGGCAUGCUAUGAUGGAGUCUUCUUGAAUCUAUUUUGGGGCAGAACUGCAUACUG
This 956-nucleotide unclassified non-coding RNA is filed under the name Hevea brasiliensis (rubber tree). The record is from RNAcentral. Lineage: Eukaryota; Viridiplantae; Streptophyta; Magnoliopsida; Malpighiales; Euphorbiaceae.